This 284-nucleotide RNase MRP RNA is filed under the name Chromera velia. Its description in RNAcentral is "RNase MRP". It matches the Rfam family "RNase MRP". From Rfam's summary of the family: RNase MRP is an enzymatically active ribonucleoprotein with two distinct roles in eukaryotes. Lineage: Eukaryota; Chromeraceae. The record is from RNAcentral.
GAAGAGUCGCGUUAGCAGCAUCCAAACGGGGUCUCGUGCCCAUCCAUGCUGCGGGGAAAGUCCCCGUGCCUUUCGACAGAGAGUGUCGGCACAAGUGUGCGAACCUCUCCGACGCUUCCGCGUUUCCCCUGAGAGGCUUUCGGGCCGAGAAGGGGUGCGGGCGAGGAGAGCUGCUUGCACUGGACGGAAUGCGAUUCUUUCAGCGUCCGUCCUCCUCUGUGAGAUUAUGCGACAGUCGGCAAUCCGUACAGGCUCUUGUCGGCAACUCAAUGGGGCUUACUCUC